RNAcentral lists this ribosomal RNA (497 nucleotides) under uncultured bacterium. RNAcentral's name for it is "partial 16S ribosomal RNA". It matches the Rfam family "Bacterial small subunit ribosomal RNA", at positions 28 to 507 of the family's 1533-position model. The record is from RNAcentral.
GAUGAACGCUGGCGGCGUGCCUAAUACAUGCAAGUCGAGCGAACAGACGAGGAGCUUGCUCCUCUGACGUUAGCGGCGGACGGGUGAGUAACACGUGGAUAACCUACCUAUAAGACUGGGAUAACUUCGGGAAACCGGAGCUAAUACCGGAUAAUAUAUUAAACCGCAUGGUUCAAUAGUGAAAGACGGUUUUGCUGUCACUUAUAGAUGAAUCCGCGCCGCAUUAGCUAGUUGGUAAGGUAACGGCUUACCAAGGCAACGAUGCGUAGCCGACCUGAGAGGGUGAUCGGCCACACUGGAACUGAGACACGGUCCAGACUCCUACGGGAGGCAGCAGUAGGGAAUCUUCCGCAAUGGGCGAAAGCCUGACGGAGCAACGCCGCGUGAGUGAUGAAGGUCUUCGGAUCGUAAAACUCUGUUAUUAGGGAAGAACAAAUGUGUAAGUAACUAUGCACGUCUUGACGGUACCUAAUCAGAAAGCCACGGCUAACUACGUG